CAUUGAUAACACCCUACAAUUGUUAUCCGCCCGGGUACUACGAGCAUCAGCUUAAAACCCAAAGGACUUGGCGGUGCUUUAGAUCCACCUAGAGGAGCCUGUUCUAGAACCGAUAACCCCCGUUCAACCUCACCCUUCCUUGUUUUUCCCGCCUAUAUACCACCGUCGUCAGCUUACCCUGUGAAGGCCUUAUAGUAAGCAAAAUUGGCACAACCCAAAACGUCAGGUCGAGGUGUAGCGCAUGGAGGGGGAAGAAAUGGGCUACAUUCCCUAAUACAGUGAAUACGGACGAUGUACUGAAAUACACAUCUGAAGGAGGAUUUAGCAGUAAGCGGAAAAUAGAGCGUUCCGCUGAAAUUGGCCCUGAAGCGCGC
RNAcentral lists this ribosomal RNA (374 nucleotides) under Luvarus imperialis (luvar). RNAcentral's name for it is "partial 12S ribosomal RNA". It matches the Rfam family "Bacterial small subunit ribosomal RNA", at positions 801 to 1384 of the family's 1533-position model. Lineage: Eukaryota; Metazoa; Chordata; Actinopteri; Acanthuriformes; Luvaridae. The record is from RNAcentral.